CAGGAGGGAAGAAAAAAAACCACAUAUGGCUUCACGGGCACCGUACAUUCGCGGAUGUUGUAAAAAAAACACACAAAAAUGAUGGACGAUUUCUGUAUGUGAUGUAAACCCGUAGGAUAUUGUAUUUACGUUAAUUGCCAUCAUUCAUCUUUAUUCCAGGACUUUCAACAUGGAAGAUGAAUGGGAAGAGGAGGAGCAGCUUGUUGUGGUGGAGCUCUCUGGUAUAAUCAACAAUGACUUCCUGUCCAAGUGUCGGGGCACAUGCAAGAUUCUUGACAUUGACAGCGAGAAGCCCAUGAUGCAGGUUGGACAAUAUGUGUUUGCAGGAGAAUAUGAAGAUGCCUUGGGAACAUGUGUGCUGUUCGAGGAGGGACCACAGAAAGGAAAAGCAGACAGUGUUCCAGAGCUCAAGUACAUGUGCCACACUGUGAAGAAACUGAUGAUGCAACGAAUCUUCCUCGUUGAGAAGAAAGACGGAGAAACCAGCACAGCAGGAAGUGGUGAUAGUGGUGAACAGAUGAACCCAACUUAUCGGUCCGAUGAAGACGAAAAUGCCAACCAACAGGGAGAGACAGAAGACGAUAUGGGCAACACAGAAUUGGAAGACUCAGCAGUGGGCUGAGAAAUGCAGGCCUUGGCAUAUUAUGACCUCCCUAUACAAGUGCAGAGACACGCCAGCAUUUGCAAGGCUGUAGGGGACUCCAUGUCUGAAACAGGGAAGUGUCAGUGUUAAUGAAAACAUUGUAUCGCCAUCCUUUUUGUGUACAUGUAUUGUGUCUGGUCUGGUCUUCUUUACCAGACCUCAAAAUAAGUGAAUUUCAUAUUUGAUGUGCAACAAAAUAUGGCUAAAUGACACCUAAAGGGAAAACAGUCUUGUAUAAAUUACCAUUUAAAUCCUUUUUUUCCACAUACGAAGGGUCUUGGGAAGGUCAGUCACGGAAAUGUGGCCGGAGACCUCAGGUUAGCAGCAGGAAGUCCUUUCAUUGUGCUUUUAUGAAAUCAUCAGUUUUUGUUUUCUCUGAUUAAUCAUUAUGCUGUUUAACCAGCAGAGGGUGAUAAAUCUGCUUUAGCUGCAGGGUUAUAGUAAGUCAUUUAUACAUUGAAAGAAGUGAAUGAGGAGUACCUGACUUUAAAAUAAAAAGUCCCUUUUUGUCUGUUUUAUGAUAAAUGUACUUUGAUUUGCUAUGUUAAAGCCAACACAAAUAAAGGCUUAUUUAUUUUUUUGAGAGGCCUCAGUCUUAUUGUGUUGUUUUUGUUGUUGAUGUUUUGCUUUUGUGGAAUUUCCACCAGAGAUGUAGAUUUGGCAUUCGGUUACAGAGCAAAAGGCUGUCAAUAAGGCAACCUUUUUGGGUUUUAGCUUUUAAGACUGUAAAUACAAUUCUACUGUAGUU
Molecule: RNA transcript, 1391 nt
Organism: Etheostoma cragini (Arkansas darter)
Lineage: Eukaryota; Metazoa; Chordata; Actinopteri; Perciformes; Percidae
Gene: gtf3c6
Gene name: general transcription factor IIIC, polypeptide 6, alpha
Exons: 7
Source: RefSeq, a predicted model, not a curated record